RNAcentral lists this ribosomal RNA (598 nucleotides) under Aspergillus oryzae. RNAcentral describes it as "eukaryotic LSU rRNA". The stretch from base 215 to 368 matches the Rfam family "5.8S ribosomal RNA". Lineage: Eukaryota; Fungi; Ascomycota; Eurotiomycetes; Eurotiales; Aspergillaceae. The record is from RNAcentral.
CUUCCGUAGGGUGACCUGCGGAAGGAUCAUUACCGAGUGUAGGGUUCCUAGCGAGCCCAACCUCCCACCCGUGUUUACUGUACCUUAGUUGCUUCGGCGGGCCCGCCAUUCAUGGCCGCCGGGGGCUCUCAGCCCCGGGCCCGCGCCCGCCGGAGACACCACGAACUCUGUCUGAUCUAGUGAAGUCUGAGUUGAUUGUAUCGCAAUCAGUUAAAACUUUCAACAAUGGAUCUCUUGGUUCCGGCAUCGAUGAAGAACGCAGCGAAAUGCGAUAACUAGUGUGAAUUGCAGAAUUCCGUGAAUCAUCGAGUCUUUGAACGCACAUUGCGCCCCCUGGUAUUCCGGGGGGCAUGCCUGUCCGAGCGUCAUUGCUGCCCAUCAAGCACGGCUUGUGUGUUGGGUCGUCGUCCCCUCUCCGGGGGGGACGGGCCCCAAAGGCAGCGGCGGCACCGCGUCCGAUCCUCGAGCGUAUGGGGCUUUGUCACCCGCUCUGUAGGCCCGGCCGGCGCUUGCCGAACGCAAAUCAAUCUUUUUCCAGGUUGACCUCGGAUCAGGUAGAGGAUACCCGCUGAACUUAAGCAUAUCAAUAAGCGGAGGA